Molecule: ribosomal RNA, 487 nt
Filed under: Lachnospiraceae bacterium
Lineage: Bacteria; Bacillati; Bacillota; Clostridia; Lachnospirales; Lachnospiraceae
Description: partial 23S ribosomal RNA
Rfam family: Bacterial large subunit ribosomal RNA
Source: RNAcentral
AUUGCCAUCGCUCAACGGAUAAAAGCUACCCUGGGGAUAACAGGCUUAUCACUCCCAAGAGUUCACAUCGACGGAGUGGUUUGGCACCUCGAUGUCGGCUCAUCGCAUCCUGGGGCUGCAGCAGGUCCCAAGGGUUGGGCUGUUCGCCCAUUAAAGCGGAACGCGAGCUGGGUUCAGAACGUCGUGAGACAGUUCGGUCCCUAUCCGGCGCAGGCGGAGGAUAUCUGAGGGGAGCCGUCCCUAGUACGAGAGGACCGGGAUGGACGGGCCGCUGGUGGACCUGUUGGGCAUCAAGCCCACGGCAGGGUAGCCAAGCCCGGCAGGGAUAAACGCUGAAGGCAUCUAAGCGUGAAGCCCCCCCCGAGAUGGGAUAUCCCGCAGAGAAAUCUGUUAAGACCCCUUGAAGACGACGAGGUAGAUAGGGAUGGGGUGUAAGCACAGCAAUGUGUUGAGCUGACAUCCACUAAUCGGUCGAGGGCUUAACCAG